This 427-nucleotide ribosomal RNA is filed under the name uncultured bacterium. RNAcentral describes it as "partial 16S ribosomal RNA". It matches the Rfam family "Bacterial small subunit ribosomal RNA", at positions 355 to 774 of the family's 1533-position model. The record is from RNAcentral.
UGGGGAAUAUUGCACAAUGGGCGCAAGCCUGAUGCAGCCAUGCCGCGUGUAUGAAGAAGGCCUUCGGGUUGUAAAGUACUUUCAGCGAGGAGGAAGGCGGUAAGGUUAAUAACCUUAUCGAUUGACGUUACUCGCAGAAGAAGCACCGGCUAACUCCGUGCCAGCAGCCGCGGUAAUACGGAGGGGACAAGCGUUAAUCGGAAUUACUGGGCGUAAAGCGCACGCAGGCGGUCUGUCAAGUCGGAUGUGAAAUCCCCGGGCUCAACCUGGGAACUGCAUUCGAAACUGGCAGGCUAGAGUCUUGUAGAGGGGGGUAGAAUUCCAGGUGUAGCGGUGAAAUGCGUAGAGAUCUGGAGGAAUACCGGUGGCGAAGGCGGCCCCCUGGACAAAGACUGACGCUCAGGUGCGAAAGCGUGGGGAGCAAACA